UACGUAGGCAGCGAGCGUUGUUCGGAAUUACUGGGCGUAAAGAGUGUGUAGGCGGCGCUCUAAGUUCGGUGUGAAAUCUCUCGGCUUAACUGGGAGGGUGCGCCGGAAACUGGAGUGCUCGAACGUGGGAGAGGAAAGCGGAAUUCCUGGUGUAGCGGUGAAAUGCGUAGAUAUUGGGAAGAACACCGGUGGCGAAGGCGGCGACCUGGUUCAUUACUGACGCUGAGGCGCGAAAGCGUGGGGAGCAAACAGG
RNAcentral lists this ribosomal RNA (253 nucleotides) under uncultured bacterium. RNAcentral describes it as "partial 16S ribosomal RNA". It matches the Rfam family "Bacterial small subunit ribosomal RNA", at positions 524 to 776 of the family's 1533-position model. The record is from RNAcentral.